GGAAAAAAAACCUUUCAUAGUGAUUAGUGAGCAGGAUUUACCUCCCCCUGCACCCCCAUCCACUUUCCAGAUUGCUAGAGACAGAUUUCAUAUCUAAUCACAAACAAGAGUGUGGGUAGUGAAAGAAAAAAAGAAAGAAAAAAAAAUCCAAACUAAAGGCAGUGUGAUGUAAUGAAAAACACUUGGAAAUGGAGUCAGGAAUGCUGACCGGGUUCAAGUGCCUGCUCCACUACUUACUAGCUGCAUGACACUAGAAAAAUGAGAAGUGUACAUCUGGUCUACCAGUGCUCAGAGCAACAACGACUGGGACAAGGAAGGGAAAAAAGACCCUUGGGAAGAAACCUGAGAUCGUAAGUGCUGGGAACAUUGCUGCUGAGAGAAGAGAAUGGGCGCAUCUAGAGGGAGGAAAGGAAGAACAGGAGAGCACAGAACCUUCUUUGCUGGGGGCGUGCCAUUCUGGACAGCCUAUGCCAGUGUCUCCCAAGUCUCACAACUGAUUUCAGAGUUCUUCAGAGAGACCUUGAGAGUGUCCUUGUGUCGCUUCUUCUGCCCUCCAUAUUGCAGGAGUGCCAUCUCCCUAAUCCUCACAAUAUGGAAGAGAUAACUGUACAACAUAAACUCCUGGAAGACCCAACACAACGGAAAACUUUUGUUUAUGAACCCAGAGGUGUAUUAUAAGCCUUUUGUGCAAGAACUGGCCUUGCUGAAUUACAAGAGGGUAAGCACCAGCUUGUCUCCAGGACAGUGAUGUAUAUAAGAUAUGCCAAUUCUUGAAGGCUACUGAUUAAGUUCCUAAGGUGCUACCAUCUACAUUUGCACACAGAAUACUACUGAAAUUAUCAAUCUCUGAAGAAUUAAAAUUAUUAUUAUUAUUAUUAUUCCCAGCAAACAUAUCACUUUCUGUGGCCUCCUUUGAACAAGAAUGUCUGUUUUCCAGCCAACCAAAUGUCCAGGUAGUGAGAAUGGGGAUUUCCUCAGCUCUGAGCCACUGUUGGUUACUGUUGUCAACAGGAGUUAGGAAAGGUCACUGUUUCGGAGGCAAAGACAAGCCAGGAGGCAUGAGAGAGUUGGCAGGUGGAAGGAUGUGUAGGACCGGACAGAGAAUGAGUUGCGGUGGGGGGAGAGGAGCUACUUGAGGUUUAUCACCCCUCUCCCUGCUGUGAGAGUUCCUCCCUGUGGGGCCAUGGGCAAGUCACCUGACCUUUGUCUGAGCUUCAGUUUCCUCACCAAUGGCCUCCAAGUAACUCUCUAAGAUUCCUAAGUUGCUUAACAGUUUCUGAUUUGCAGUUGUACAGGGAGUUUCUCUGUUCUGAUGAUAUCAUAGGUUCAGUCAAAAAAAAAUUAAAUGAUGGGAAUAAUGCAAUAACUACUCCCAAAGCAGUUCUGAGAAAAGUGCUUUGUGAACUUUAAUGGUUUUGAUAAAUGCGAGCCAUUAUUAAUAUUUCUAUGAGUCAUUAAUCCAAUUUUAACAUCACCUGUUUUAUAAAUGACAGACCUCAGUAUCCCAGUGUCAACUGGAACUGAGGCGAGGUAAGAAGCAGGGUUAGGACGAAGGAGAUUGCCUUCCUAGGAAGCUAGAUGAGGAGGAGAAAGGAGGAAAAAGAAAGAGGGUAAGGAGAAAUCCACAGGAGCUGCUUGACAGAGUAUCCCUACAACUCACAGUGCCUUUCUGAAAAAUACAGAGUUCUGACACAUGAAAUGUAUGCCAGGGGCUGCUUAUAUUAGAAACCAAGAGUCAGCACCUAACAAAACCAUGAUCCAAGGACAGUAUGCAUGUAAAUAAACCAAUUAUUUCAACCUUGCUUCUUCCAGUCCUCUCCUGUACAAGAACCGCUGCCUGCUGUAAUCUCCCCCAUGCCUCAUAAGAGCCAUCACGUGGCCUUUCUAAAUGUCUAUUCAUUGCUAAGAACACAGAGGUCAUUAACUUAGGUUCAUAGGAUUUGAAGCUGAAACUGACCCUAGAUGACAUCUGGACCAACACACCCCUUGCCAUUUUGCAGACAGGAAACUAAGGUCUCAUGAUUUGUACAAGGUCACAUAGCUAUUAAAUGCAGAGCAGGUAUAUGGGCCUCACAUCUCUGACUCAUUAAGUUACACAUCACUGGGUAAAUACACUAAGUCAAAGACAACCCAAAAAACAGAUAAUCAACCAAAGUUAAGGUUAAUGGUAAUAUUUUCUUUUAUUGUUUUUCUCUCUUGAAGGAAGGAAAGAAAUGAGCAUUUAUUCAGUGCCUACUAUAUACCUGUCACAGUGCUAACAACUUUACAAACAUUAUCUCAUUCAGUCAUCACAACUCUGCAUAUCAUUAUUAUCUCCCAGUUUUACAGAUGGGAAAACUGAGGCAGACAGAAGUUAAGCGAUUU
Non-coding RNA from Phascolarctos cinereus (koala), 2364 nucleotides. The record is from RefSeq and is a predicted model, not a curated record. NCBI's taxonomy places the organism in Eukaryota, Metazoa, Chordata, Mammalia, Diprotodontia, Phascolarctidae.